AGAGUUUGAUCAUGGCUCAGGAUGAACGCUAGCGGCAGGCUUAACACAUGCAAGUCGAGGGGUAUAGUAGCAAUACUAGAGACCGGCGCACGGGUGCGUAACGCGUAUGCAAUCUACCUUUUGCAGCGGGAUAGCCCAGAGAAAUUUGGAUUAAUACCGCAUAGUAUAGUACUUUGGCAUCAAGGCACUAUUAAGGUCACAACGGCAAAAGAUGAGCAUGCGUCCCAUUAGCUAGUUGGUAUGGUAACGGCAUACCAAGGCGACGACGGGUAGGGGUCCUGAGAGGGAGAUCCCCCACACUGGUACUGAGACACGGACCAGACUCCUACGGGAGGCAGCAGUGAGGAAUAUUGGUCAAUGGACGCAAGUCUGAACCAGCCAUGCCGCGUGCAGGAUGACGGUCCUAUGGAUUGUAAACUGCUUUUAUACAGGAAGAAACACUCCCUCGUGAGGGAGCUUGACGGUACUGUAGGAAUAAGGAUCGGCUAACUCCGUGCCAGCAGCCGUGGUAAUACGGAGGAUCCAAGCGUUAUCCGGAAUCAUUGGGUUUAAAGGGUCCGUAGGCGGUUUAAUAAGUCAGUGGUGAAAGCCUAUCGCUUAACGAUAGAACGGCCAUUGAUACUGUUAGACUUGAAUUAGUGGGAAGUAACUAGAAUAUGUAGUGUAGCGGUGAAAUGCUUAGAUAUUACAUGGAAUACCAAUUGCGAAGGCAGGUCACUAUCACUAUAUUGACGCUGAUGGACGAAAGCGUGGGGAGCGAACAGGAUUAGAUACCCUGGUAGUCC
Molecule: ribosomal RNA, 785 nt
Filed under: uncultured bacterium
Lineage: Bacteria
Description: bacterial SSU rRNA
Rfam family: Bacterial small subunit ribosomal RNA
Source: RNAcentral